Molecule: ribosomal RNA, 374 nt
Filed under: uncultured organism
Description: partial 16S ribosomal RNA
Rfam family: Bacterial small subunit ribosomal RNA
Source: RNAcentral
GUAGGUGGCAAGCGUUGUCCGGAAUUAUUGGGCGUAAAGCGCGCGCAGGCGGUUCUUUAAGUCAGAUGUGAAAGCCCACGGCUCAACCGUGGAGGGUCAUUGGAAACUGGAGAACUUGAGUACAGAAGAGGAAAGCGGAAUUCCACGUGUAGCGGUGAAAUGCGUAGAGAUGUGGAGGAACACCAGUGGCGAAGGCGGCUUUCUGGUCUGUAACUGACGCUGAGGCGCGAAAGCGUGGGGAGCAAACAGGGAUUAGAUACCCUGGUAGUCCACGCCGUAAACGAUGAGUGCUAAGUGUUAGGGGGGUUUCCGCCCCCUUAGUGCUGCAGCUAACGCAUUAAGCACUCCGCCUGGGGAGUACGGCCGCAAGGCUG